UUCUCCUGAAUGUUACCCAUUUUUCCUUCUAGUGACUGGAAAUCUUUUACCCCAACACUUCCCAAUUGAAGGAACUUCUGAAGGGAAACCUGAGCAGACUACCUCAGCUCCUGUUGCCCAGGGUUUGCAGCCCCUUUGCGCCUUAGCAGAUGAGUUGCUAUUGCUGAAAACUUCAUCAUGUUGUAACCCAAAUGGUAAAAACUUCUCAACAUUUAGCCAGAGAAAGAAAUAAUCAUAGGCCUUAAAAGGACAAAACAAAACUUUAAAAAAGAAGUUGAAACAGUAUAAAUGAGAAGAUGGCUAAAGAAUACCUGACUAUCUCAAUAUAGGUCAUUUGACCCAGACGGACUACACACUCAGGUUCUGAAAAUACUGGCAGAUAUGAAUGCAAACAACAACAACAAAAAAAAAAAACGUUGUUGGUGAUAUUUGAAAGAUCAUGGAGAAAGUAAAAAGAGUCAUAAUCCUGGAUGUAGAU
RNAcentral lists this long non-coding RNA (478 nucleotides) under Monodelphis domestica (gray short-tailed opossum). RNAcentral describes it as "lncRNA (ENSMODG00000040331.1)". Lineage: Eukaryota; Metazoa; Chordata; Mammalia; Didelphimorphia; Didelphidae. The record is from RNAcentral.